GAUGAACGCUGGCGGUAUGCUUAACACAUGCAAGUCGAACGGACUCUUCGGAGUUAGUGGCGGACGGGUGAGUAACGCGUGAGAAUCUGGCUUUGGGUUCGGGACAACCACUGGAAACGGUGGCUAAUACCGGAUGUGCCGAGAGGUAAAAGAGAAAUUGCCUGAAGAUGAGCUCGCGUCUGAUUAGCUAGUUGGUGAGGUAAAGGCUCACCAAGGCAGCGAUCAGUAGCUGGUCUGAGAGGAUGACCAGCCACACUGGGACUGAGACACGGCCCAGACUCCUACGGGAGGCAGCAGUGGGGAAUUUUCCGCAAUGGGCGAAAGCCUGACGGAGCAAUACCGCGUGGGGGAAGAAGGCUCUUGGGUUGUAAACCUCUUUUCUUAGGGAAGAACAAAAUGACGGUACCUAAGGAAUCAGCAUCGGCUAACUCCGUG
Molecule: ribosomal RNA, 435 nt
Filed under: uncultured bacterium
Lineage: Bacteria
Description: partial 16S ribosomal RNA
Rfam family: Bacterial small subunit ribosomal RNA
Source: RNAcentral